ACUGAGGGAAGGAUUGCAACUGUGUCCAGAGACAAGUUGGCUGAGUGCGCAAUUGAGACUGACUGGAAAGCCUGCUUCAUUCUAUUUAAUCCAUUCUAUACUAGUCUUUAUAUACAGUUUCUUCCAAUGUGGAAGGUAGAGGGCAUUGAUCAUUCUAGACUAUAAGCCUGUGGGAAGGCUUAUUCCCAAUGGGUGUUAAGGAAUUCCUAAUAGAUGGUAG
Molecule: long non-coding RNA, 220 nt
Organism: Nanorana parkeri
Lineage: Eukaryota; Metazoa; Chordata; Amphibia; Anura; Dicroglossidae
Exons: 3
Source: RefSeq, a predicted model, not a curated record